GCCUUCGGGCUUAUGUAUCAUAUACUCUGAAUGUGUCAUAGAAUGUUCAUGUUGCCUUAAAACGCAAUCAAAUACAACUUUCAACAACGGAUCUCUUGGCUCUCGCAUCGAUGAAGAACGCAGCGAAAUGCGAUAAGUAAUGUGAAUUGCAGAUUUUCAGUGAAUCAUCGAAUCUUUGAACGCACCUUGCGCUCCUUGGUAUUCCGAGGAGCAUGCCUGUUUGAGUGUCAUUAAAUUCUCAACCCCACCGAUUUGCUUCGGGGGGAUUGGACUUGGAGCGUGCUGGUGUAUGUCGGCUCCUCUUUAAAUGCAUCAGUGGAGAGAAACUUGCCCCAGUGUGAUAAUCCUGUUGCGCUGUGGUGGGUGAAAGUCUGCUUCCAACCGUCCCUCCGGGGACAUAUGUCAUCUUAUUUUGACCUCAAAUCAGGUAGGACUACCCGCUGAACUUAAGCAU
This 454-nucleotide ribosomal RNA is filed under the name uncultured Amphinema. RNAcentral's name for it is "eukaryotic LSU rRNA". The stretch from base 76 to 230 matches the Rfam family "5.8S ribosomal RNA". Lineage: Eukaryota; Fungi; Basidiomycota; Agaricomycetes; Atheliales; Atheliaceae. The record is from RNAcentral.